RNAcentral lists this ribosomal RNA (214 nucleotides) under Vreelandella arcis. RNAcentral's name for it is "Halomonas arcis 16S rRNA. Bacterial SSU". It matches the Rfam family "Bacterial small subunit ribosomal RNA", at positions 1 to 217 of the family's 1533-position model. The record is from RNAcentral. Lineage: Bacteria; Pseudomonadati; Pseudomonadota; Gammaproteobacteria; Oceanospirillales; Halomonadaceae.
UUAAACUGAAGAGUUUGAUCAUGGCUCAGAUUGAACGCUGGCGGCAGGCCUAACACAUGCAAGUCGAGCGGUAACAGAUCCAGCUUGCUGGAUGCUGACGAGCGGCGGACGGGUGAGUAACGCAUAGGAAUUUACCCGGUAGUGGGGGAUAACCUGGGGAAACUCAGGCUAAUACCGCAUACGUCCUACGGGAGAAAGGGGGCUUUGGCUCCCG